AGCGACCUACUUCACAGGAUCAGUGCAUUAGGUUGUUAACUGCGAACAGUCUGGAACUGUGCGCGUACACCAAACCUCGAUGAUGAGGAGUAGUGAUCCCUUCUGAGCGCGAAGCCGUUUUGGGCGGUUGGUCGAAAGACUGUCGCCCUGACAUUGAUGACCGUUCCUUUCCCCCUUGACUACGCGAUAGUCGGGGGAUGAGGAGGGAGGGAUCGCAUUCCGAGCGGU
Paramacrobiotus metropolitanus is the source of this 228-nucleotide small nucleolar RNA. RefSeq annotates it as small nucleolar RNA U3. NCBI's taxonomy places the organism in Eukaryota, Metazoa, Tardigrada, Eutardigrada, Parachela, Macrobiotidae. The transcript has a single exon. The record is from RefSeq and is a predicted model, not a curated record.